AUUGAACGCUGGCGGCAUGCCUUACACAUGCAAGUCGAACGGUAACAGGUCUUCGGAUGCUGACGAGAGGCGAACGGGUGAGUAAUACAUCGGAACGUGCCUAGUAGUGGGGGAUAACUACUCGAAAGAGUGGCUAAUACCGCGUGAGAUCUACGGAUGAAAGCAGGGGAUCGCAAGACCUUGUGCUACUAGAGCGGCCGAUGGCAGAUUAGGUAGUUGGUGGGAUAAAAGCUUACCAAGCCGACGAUCUGUAGCUGGUCUGAGAGGACGAUCAGACGCACUGGGGCUGAGAAACGGCCCAGACUCCUACGGGAGUAAGCAGUGGGGAAUUUUGGACAAUGGGCGCAAGGCUGAUCCAGCAAUGCCGCGUGCAGGAUGAAGGCCUUCGGGUUGUAAACUGCUUUUGUACGGAACGAAAAGCCCCGGGUUAAUACCCUGGGGUCAUGACGGUACCGUAAGAAUAAGCACCGGCUAACUACGUGCCAGCCGCCGCGGUAA
This 498-nucleotide ribosomal RNA is filed under the name uncultured bacterium. RNAcentral describes it as "partial 16S ribosomal RNA". It matches the Rfam family "Bacterial small subunit ribosomal RNA", at positions 30 to 523 of the family's 1533-position model. The record is from RNAcentral.